Taeniopygia guttata (zebra finch) is the source of this 846-nucleotide non-coding RNA. Lineage: Eukaryota; Metazoa; Chordata; Aves; Passeriformes; Estrildidae. The record is from RefSeq and is a predicted model, not a curated record.
GAGUGAACAGGCCAGUGGAGAAACUUUCAUCUCCGUGCAAGAAGGGAGGAGAGACUUAGAUGUUCAUCACUUCCUCAGACGAAGAUUUAAGCUCAAGUAUUAACUAAUAAACUCCCUGUCCCAUAGGAGUUGAGCCAGGGGGUGUGGGGGAGGGAAUGGAUUAAACAUGUGUGAGUUUCCUACUUGGAGCAGGAGUUUUGGUGGCCUGGAAAAUGUAAUGUGUUUUCCCUUGCAGAUGCUCUGGAGUGUGACUCACAAGCCUUUGCAGCUCGGACAGCUUUGCAGAACGAGCUACCAGCAACCUCUUUGUCCUUCAGGGUACAUCACUGAAUAAGCUCGAGUACUGGAAGUUCACAGUCAGAUCUGCCCAGAGCCUUCUCAUCUCCAUGCUGAACACCUCCAGCUUUUUGUCUGAUGUGAUGUCCAGAUACUGGGGAGGACAACAACCUGGAGAGGCAGUUUGUUGCAGUUCCUGGCUCCUGGCUGGACACCAGCACAUCAGAGCAGCUUUUGCAGCAGCCAAGGCAGAGAGGGAAGCACAGUUUUGGUUUGCACACAAAGACUUAUCUUGCUGUGUGUCUCUAUCCUUGUCCCUUUUACCUUUCUGUGACAUUUCUGAAUGGUUUGAGGUUGCUUUUUUAUUUUUUUUAUUGUUUAUUUUAAUUAAACAUGACUAAACAAUGAUUCUCUGAGUGGGAAUCAUUCUUCCUAAUAACCACAGUGUGCAUGCUAACUAUACUAAAAAUAAAUCUUGUCUCUGACUAGUUAAAAAUUGCAGUGAUUUGUUGAUGCUUUUUACCUGUCACUAGUAAGAUAUAAAUAUAAAUAAGUAGAAUUACAUUUAAA